AAAUUGCGUUAAGGAUAGUAGCGACAUCCUUUUUGGCACUUUGAGCGCGUCGAAUGGAGACAUUGAGCGUGUCGAAAUGUGCCAAAAAGAUACAGCGAAUAGCCUGUUAAAAC
RNAcentral lists this small RNA (113 nucleotides) under Kordia periserrulae. Its description in RNAcentral is "Flavo-1 RNA". It matches the Rfam family "Flavo-1 RNA". Lineage: Bacteria; Pseudomonadati; Bacteroidota; Flavobacteriia; Flavobacteriales; Flavobacteriaceae. The record is from RNAcentral.